RNAcentral lists this ribosomal RNA (301 nucleotides) under uncultured bacterium. Its description in RNAcentral is "partial 16S ribosomal RNA". It matches the Rfam family "Bacterial small subunit ribosomal RNA", at positions 509 to 808 of the family's 1533-position model. The record is from RNAcentral.
CAGCAGCCGCGGUAAUGCGUAGGUCCCGAGCGUUGUCCGGGUCUAUUGGGCGUAAAGCGAGCGCAGGCGGUUAGAUAAGUCUGAAGUUAAAGGCUGUGGCUUAACCAUAGUACGCUUUGGAAACUGUUUAACUUGAGUGCAAGAGGGGAGAGUGGAAUUCCAUGUGUAGCGGUGAAAUGCGUAGAUAUAUGGAGGAACACCGGUGGCGAAAGCGGCUCUCUGGUCUGUCACUGACGCUGAGGCUCGAAAGCGUGGGUAGCGAACAGGAUUAGAUACCCCAGUAGUCCCUGUCUCUUAUACA